UGGGGAAUCUUGGACAAUGGGCGCAAGCCUGAUCCAGCCAUGCCGCGUGAGUGAUGAAGGCCUUAGGGUUGUAAAGCUCUUUUGGCGGGGACGAUAAUGACGGUACCCGCAGAAUAAGUCCCGGCUAACUUCGUGCCAGCAGCCGCGGUAAUACGAAGGGGACUAGCGUUGUUCGGAAUCACUGGGCGUAAAGCGCACGUAGGCGGAUUUGUAAGUCAGGGGUGAAAUCCCGGGGCUCAACCUCGGAACUGCCUUUGAUACUGCGGAUCUCGAGUCCGAUAGAGGUGGGUGGAAUUCCUAGUGUAGAGGUGAAAUUCGUAGAUAUUGGGAAGAACACCAGUGGCGAAGGCGGCUAACUGGUCCGGUACUGACGCUGAGGUGCGAAAGCGUGGGGAGCAAACAGGAUUAGAUACCCCCGUAGUCCCUGAGCGGGCUGGCAAGGCGCAU
RNAcentral lists this ribosomal RNA (447 nucleotides) under uncultured bacterium. RNAcentral's name for it is "bacterial SSU rRNA". It matches the Rfam family "Bacterial small subunit ribosomal RNA", at positions 355 to 825 of the family's 1533-position model. The record is from RNAcentral.